Molecule: unclassified non-coding RNA, 2466 nt
Filed under: Hevea brasiliensis (rubber tree)
Lineage: Eukaryota; Viridiplantae; Streptophyta; Magnoliopsida; Malpighiales; Euphorbiaceae
Source: RNAcentral
CUUAUAUCUUUUAUUAUCCAGAAAAUGAAUUUAACCCUUGAGGACUACAGACGCAGAUGCAGCCGUCCUGGAAAUAGCAUCAUCAAAAUCAUUGGCUAUUGUCUUUUAUUUUCAUUUUUGUUUCCUUCCAAAAAUUCUUGGUCAUUGCCUAUACAACAUGGCGUGAAAGGCAGGAAUCAAAAUCAGGUUAUUGCUCCGCCUUGUGGAGAUCAAGAAAGAAUCAAAGAAUUUCAAAACUGUUGUACUUCCCCAGUAACCUGUACAAAACCUAGUCAUCUAUAAAACAAUUGAAGGAAUAUUUACAAGAUAUAUACAUGUAUUGGUUAGUCUUCCAGGCCUUGUAUUUCACCCAUCAAUAUACGGUUGCUUGAAACUUUGAAGCCAAGGAGAGCCAGAUCUAUCUGCUUUCCUUUCUUCCCUUUCUUUUUCCCACUUCUUGCUGCUUGCGAACCACCAUCAGAUGACUCCAAAGCAGCCACAUUAGCUGCAUCAGCAUCAGAAAGAACCGGCUUUUUAAGCGCAUCUAUAAACAAUGUCUCUGAUACAGUCGCACCGUUGUAAGAUGAGACCCUUCUAAAACGCAUUUCUUUCUUCCCAGAUGCCAGAGUUUCACCUGCUGAGGUUGCUGCAACAUUUCCCUCAGACUCGUGCCCUUUUUCAUUAGAAGUUGGAAAGUUCAUUGAGCUUUUCUGCUUGCCAUUUGAGGCAGGGGCCACGUCUGACAGACCAUCUUGGGAAGAUAAAGCCCAUGAUACAGGUGGGUGUUUAUGUGAAGUGUUAUCAAGCCCUUUGUUUAUUAUAGAAGGUACACUGUUGAAAAGAAAAGACGAUUCCAUUACCGUCAGUGCAAGAAAAAUUAUAUCGUUAAACACAGAAAAAUACUACCACCAGAAGCAAAACAUCAACAUAACUAACUAUCAACUGAUGUUCAAUGUUAAAGCACUAGUAUUUACUAGGGAAAAUUCCUCCAAGACUCCAGUGUUGCUAAUAAUCACGAAAUACAUAAAGAGUUGGAAACAGCUUACCAUAAGCAAAAAUAUCAUAAUCACGUCACUGCAGCCUGUAAUGUGCUAAAGAUUUUUAUCAUAAUACAGAAAAAACACUGCACAUGCUAUUUGUGUUCCAGAUAUUUUCACAGAUCCAAGUUUUUACAUAGAAAAUAAAACAAUUUUCAAUAAAACAAUUUUCACUAUUUACAUUUUACAGUGUUUGGGCAGUUAAGAGAAUUGACUAGAAAACUUGUUUUCCUGGUUAAAGAAAAAUGAGUUAUUUUCAAGGAAAAUAACUUGUUAUUUCCAAUUGGAAAGUCAAUUUUUGUUUCAUAAAAAGCAAAUGACCCAUAAGAGAACCACACAAGAAUAUACACAUUAGUAUACCUAGGACCGCCAACCAUUUCCAGUUGUCAAUAGCCACUGACCACUACCACCAGUCAGCAGCAACAGCCACAAUUUAUCUUCUUUGUACUUUUCAAACGUAAACAAAUUUAAAACUACAACUGCAAAAUUGUCUUUUGAAGGUUAAAACAUUUCAAUCUUUGUAUUGUAUGAAAAUUAAAAAUUUUCUAUGCACUCCAAAUGCCCAAGAAUAAUUUCAAAUUGAUUUUCAGCAUCGCGUCCAACAACAGAAAUAAGUCACUCUCCUAGAAAAUGUUUUCCUCAAAAAGUAAUGUUUUACAAACACCUUUAUUAUCUGCAAAACAAAUAAAGCCUAAAUCAACGAUUACCAAAUGCACCAAGAUAUAUCAGGUUAACCACCCUAAGCAGAGAUAUAUGUAAUCCCAUUCAGCAGCUAAUUGGACACACAUGAUAACCACAAAUAAUAUCAUACACAGUGUCCUACAAAACCCUACAACUCAGUUGGUAUUAUUUCAUGAAAAGCAAACAUGAGAUAAUAAAUCCUUUAAAGCAGACUUUAGCAACUUAGCAGCCACAGCAUAAGUGUUAGAUUCAAACACUUUCAGCAUCCCCCCAGCAGCUUGAAAAAUAUGUGAUAAGAGCAUAUAUUUAUCAAAGCAAGGGACUAAAUUUUAUAAGACAAAAACUUGAAAACAAAGAAUCAACUCUUCUAUGAAUAACAGCUAAUAUUCAACUCAACCUCAUUAAAAACAACAAUUCUGUCGUUCAACAUAGCAGGAAAACCAGGAAAACCAUACCUAUCAUUAGAAACCUCCCCUCCAGAUGAUAUAUUGUUUCCCAUCUUGCAGCUGUAGAUGCCUUGAUUUCCGCCAGCAAUGCUUAGCAAACUAUGCCUGCUUGGUAUCCUCCCCAAAUCCGUUGCAGCUUCUGCCUGCUCAACCAAGUUGUCUUCAAUUUGUGAAGCUGACCUGCACAUUGGAACCAUAGCUUUGGACCCAUAUAUACUUCCCUUUCUUUCCAGUUCUGGCAAGUCUUCGUCCAAUGUUGAUUUACCAAUAAAUCUGGCAUCCACAUAACUAGUAUGAGAAGGAUCUCUUGCGCCUGACAAGAA